UACGUAGGGUGCAAGCGUUGUCCGGAAUUAUUGGGCGUAAAGAGCUCGUAGGCGGUCUGUCGCGUCUGCUGUGAAAACUCAGGGCUUAACCCUGAGCUUGCAGUGGGUACGGGCAGACUAGAGUGCGGUAGGGGAGACUGGAAUUCCUGGUGUAGCGGUGAAAUGCGCAGAUAUCAGGAGGAACACCGGUGGGCGAAGGCGGGGUCUCUGGGCCGUAACUGACGCUGGAGACGCGAAAGCCGUGGGGAGCGAACAGG
Molecule: ribosomal RNA, 257 nt
Filed under: uncultured bacterium
Lineage: Bacteria
Description: partial 16S ribosomal RNA
Rfam family: Bacterial small subunit ribosomal RNA
Source: RNAcentral